CUUAAAUCUUUCAUCAGUUGUGCUAUUUAUACAAUUGAGGUUAACAGCCCCCGGUUGACAAUUAGACACAUGAGAGGAGGGCCCAUGCUGAAUAAAAAAAUCAUGAGUUUCUCCUCUUGUGAAUACAUUGUCAACCGGGGUUGUCAAUCCUAAUUGUACAAGAGGAAUAAUUCAUCUUUCAUUUAUGCAUAGGUGUAAAGAAAGAUCAUAGUGGUGUGUUGACAGUGUUGUUUGGAUGGUAAAUGUUCUUUGACUUUUAUGAUAACGGGUUUCUUUGGUUGUGCUGGUGGUGAGGAGUAUGCUUCUGGGGAGGCUUUGCUACGAUUGUAUCCGUUUGGUAACCCAACUACUAAUUGUUCUACGUUUAGAAUUCGUUUCCCUUUUGCUUGUGUGUUUGAAGAAGAAUGGAAAAGAUAUGAUUAUUUGGUCUAAAAUUUUGUCUAAUGCGGCUUGCUACUCAUUUAAUUGAUGUCUAAUAUAGCUUUUUGAUUGUUCAACAGAUGUCCAAUGUAGCCUCUUCAAAGAUUGUGCUUUACAUUUAACUUAUGGGAUCUGGUUUUUGAUUAUGUGUUUGCUUUCUUAAAUUUUUUCAUGACAGGAAAUGCACCAAGCUCAAUAAACCAAAUGACAGUUACACAAAUGGAAGGUGAUCAGUUAAAUAAUUUACAUUUGUUACUCCUACAUUGCUUUUAUCAUUAUCCUUCAACUGGAAUACUAAAUUGUAUUUCUAUUCAUUAUAGACAUUAAUUAUCUAUUUCUGUAGUGGGAUGUUUGUUUUAAUUGGAAAUCAUGUCCCAAAUUCAAGUCCUCUUAUAAUGACUUAACAGAGUGAUGCAGUUUUUUUCAGUUCGAACUUCAAAAUUAAGGAACUGUAGGCGUAUAAUUACAAUUUCUUGUGACAUUUCUAUUAUCUCUUCUAAUUGAUCACACUAUUUGAAUAUGGUGGAUUGAUUCUUGGAAAAAUACAUGAAGCACUUAAAAGACAUAUUGUGCCUGAGAAGUGGAUACGAAUAAAUCAUUGAUCAUAGAUGACAGAUGAGAGGAUGAAUACAGCUCGUCAUAUCUUUUGUUGCUAAAAUGUUUCGAAGUAGAAAAGGAGAAAUAGAAAAAUACCCCUUCAUUAUUCCCCAUUUCAUAUUUAUUGCAAAUAAGUUAAAUUCUAGUUGUAUAUGGAGGGUCUAUGUAAACGUGUCGACUUAUAUUUUUAUAUGAACUAAUCUGGUUUGUAUCUAUUUCACAUUUGUUUAAACAUUGAUAUUUUUAUAAUAACUAACUUGGUUUAGGCUACAUAUUAAAAGUAGCAUAAUGUACUUUUUUGUUUCAUGUAAGUCGUUGUUCAAUAGGUUUUGUCCAUUUAAGUGUUAUUUAUCAUAUUUCCUUAAAUGAGUACUGAAUAACAUUUGCUUAUAGUUAAAAGUGGGAUCCAUGAAAGAGUAAUAAUUAAAAACCUCUUCUUUACUUUUUGUGGAAUUAAUUAGUAGCAUUGUUCAAAGGAAAUACAGCUGCAAAAAAAUUAAUGUACUUGCUUCUUUGGUCUCCGUACAUGCAUAAAUUUAUAUUUUACGUUCUUAGGCUUGCCAUUUGAUUAAUUGCUCAAUUUCUUUAAUGCCUUAAAAACAGUUCCGUCAAUGAGGAAGAAGUGCCUGUGAUUGAUGUUAUAUAGUUCGGGUACUUUAAGGUUUUGGUUACUGGAGUUUUACCGGAAAAUUAGUUGGUGGUUGUUAAGGCUAAGCUUGUGUGGAAGAUUGUUGAGAAGAAAAUUAUGGGGGACGAUGGUGCUGUUUUACUAAUUAUUGAGUUUGUUGUUUUUUUUUAUUUUUUUAAAUGUAUUAGAUUUUUAGGUGCUUUAAAAUUUGGGAUUUGAAUUUUGUACAGAUAUUGUUACAUUUUGGGGUUCAAUUAAUAAUGAUUAUUGGAG
This 1918-nucleotide long non-coding RNA is filed under the name Olea europaea subsp. europaea. The record is from RNAcentral. Lineage: Eukaryota; Viridiplantae; Streptophyta; Magnoliopsida; Lamiales; Oleaceae.